GUAUCAUGGCUCAGGAUGAACGCUAGCGGCAGGCUUAACACAUGCAAGUCGAGGGGCAGCAUAAUGGAUAGCAAUAUCUAUGGUGGCGACCGGCGCACGGGUGCGUAACGCGUAUGCAACCCUACCUUUAACAGGGGGAGUAACACUGUAGAAAAUUGGUACUAAUACCCCAUAAUAUCAUAGAAGGCAUCUUUUAUGGUUGAAAAAUUCCGUAUGGUUAGAGAUGGGGCAUGCGUUGUUA
Molecule: ribosomal RNA, 241 nt
Filed under: uncultured bacterium
Lineage: Bacteria
Description: partial 16S ribosomal RNA
Rfam family: Bacterial small subunit ribosomal RNA
Source: RNAcentral